Oreochromis aureus is the source of this 513-nucleotide long non-coding RNA. RefSeq lists it as uncharacterized. The record is from RefSeq and is a predicted model, not a curated record. Lineage: Eukaryota; Metazoa; Chordata; Actinopteri; Cichliformes; Cichlidae. The transcript is spliced from 3 exons.
UAGAAAAUAGCUUAAUGAAUUUCCUCAAAAUUGAUGUGCUUUGUGAAUAGUUGGAGCCACCUGGUGGACAAAUACCGCAACUGCAACUGUUAAGGUUCCAAAUCGCUGCACAGCGCAUGCCUCAGCAAAGGAAAAUACUCCCAAGCUGGUGAACUGAAUGUUGCAGUUGCUUAGCACACUGUUAAUGACGACUGUUUUCUUUGUACCAGUUGCCAGAAUAAAGAGGGAGCCCAAAGUAAGGGCAAGUCCAGCGUUGCAGUGCCGUCCUUCCUACAUGGGCAUAUCACACCACUUGCACGAUAGACUCACAGAACAGCAACAGCUACAUUGGUGCCGUGACUCUGCGAUUUGAGAUCAACUUGAUGCGGAUCUCCAACCCAGGUUGCAGUGUAUUGAGCUUAAAGAUUCAUCCUUUGCCCGUCUUGGACUGUGAAUUGCGUUGAGGUACUGGACUGUUUGUUCUUUGGUUUGAUGGGACUCUCUCCGGACUGCUUGUGCUGACACCUGCGACUC